Molecule: ribosomal RNA, 253 nt
Filed under: uncultured bacterium
Lineage: Bacteria
Description: partial 16S ribosomal RNA
Rfam family: Bacterial small subunit ribosomal RNA
Source: RNAcentral
UACGAAGGGGGCUAGCGUUGCUCGGAAUCACUGGGCGUAAAGCGCACGUAGGCGGAUUGCUAAGUCAGGGGUGAAAUCCUGGAGCUCAACUCCAGAACUGCCUUUGAUACUGGCGAUCUCGAGUCCGGGAGAGGUGAGUGGAACUGCGAGUGUAGAGGUGAAAUUCGUAGAUAUUCGCAAGAACACCAGUGGCGAAGGCGGCUCACUGGCCCGUUACUGACGCUGAGGCACGAAGGUCAGGGGAGCAAACGGG